Molecule: ribosomal RNA, 462 nt
Filed under: uncultured bacterium
Lineage: Bacteria
Description: partial 16S ribosomal RNA
Rfam family: Bacterial small subunit ribosomal RNA
Source: RNAcentral
GACGAACGCUGGCGGCGUGCUUAACACAUGCAAGUCGAACGGAAAGGCCCUUCGGGGUACUCGAGUGGCGAACGGGUGAGUAACACGUGGGUGAUCUGCCCUGCACUUUGGGAUAAGCCUGGGAAACUGGGUCUAAUACCGAAUAGGACCACGCGCUUCAUGGUGUGUGGUGGAAAGCUUUUGCGGUGUGGGAUGGGCCCGCGGCCUAUCAGCUUGUUGGUGGGGUAAUGGCCUACCAAGGCGACGACGGGUAGCCGGCCUGAGAGGGUGACCGGCCACACUGGGACUGAGAUACGGCCCAGACUCCUACGGGAGGCAGCAGUGGGGAAUAUUGCACAAUGGGCGCAAGCCUGAUGCAGCGACGCCGCGUGAGGGAUGACGGCCUUGGGGUUGUAAACCUCUUUCACCAGGGACGAAGCGUAAGUGACGGUACCUGGAGAAGAAGCACCGGCCAACUACGUG